Molecule: long non-coding RNA, 728 nt
Filed under: Mytilus galloprovincialis (Mediterranean mussel)
Lineage: Eukaryota; Metazoa; Mollusca; Bivalvia; Mytilida; Mytilidae
Source: RNAcentral
GCCUUGUUGAUGUUUUUAUUCUAGUUGCCACCUACUGUAGAUUCAUUAUCAUUUGUGGGGUACCAAUUUUAUUUUUAUUUAAUUUAAACGUUGAAUAAAGUAAAAAUUGUCUAUUGACUUGUAUAUAAGCGUUUGCUGAACCAUGCAAUUAAAUUAUCUAGGAAAUAUAUACAAAUACUUAACCAAAUAAAUUGGUUCCCACCAAAAUAAAUGAAUCCUCAGUCUGAUCACAUAUUAUUGCUGUUAAUUUGUGGAUAUCAUGCAUACACUUAUUAUUGAUAGUAUUAUGAGUAACAUUAUAAUGAAAUGUUUUUCCUGUUUAGACAUAAAUGCAGUAAUUCAUUCUCAUUUUUACUUUUUACUAAAAAGAGAGCUACGAAUUGAAUACAUUAAUGAAAUGAAAUUAAGAAUAUUUCAACACAAAUAUGAAAAUGAUUUAAGAAGUGGUGAAAAGAAGUGUUGAAUCAAAUUAAAAUUUCUUUCUCUUGUUAAAAUGAUUUCACACAGAGAGUUAAAUAGAUAAAAAUAACAAGUUCUUUUUAGUACUGAUUACAAAUUUUCAUAUUGAUCUUACUUGACUAUUAUUGAAAAAAAAAGUUGUCACUCAUUAAAUUCUGUCCACAGAUUUUUGAAUAAACAUGGAAACCUGUUAUAUAAUUGUAACAGGAGGGUCGGGCGGCUAUGCGUCACCAAACCCUGCUGACUACUAAAGUGUCUGAUAUUGCCAC